CUUGAUGAAGUGCUCUCAGGGCCUAGGAUGUUAUGGAAAAGCUGCACAGAUCUUGCUCUCAAACAGCUUUGAAGAUAUCUUAGGAAAGUCUACACUUCACAUCGUCCUGGCAGCAGAAGAUGGACCGCGGCAUGGACGGAUAGGAAGGACAAAGUAAGAGGAGUGGUAGUACUUAAGGAUGACGGAGAUUGGAAUGAUUGACAGAGGAUGUCCAAAAGAAUUUCAGUAGGAGGAUUAAAUUGGAGAGACAGAUGAGACCUUGCUAAGUUCCAACUUAGGUAAAGAAAAAUAUGGUGAAUGUGAA
This 304-nucleotide long non-coding RNA is filed under the name Chinchilla lanigera (long-tailed chinchilla). RNAcentral's name for it is "lncRNA (ENSCLAG00000025143.1)". The record is from RNAcentral. Lineage: Eukaryota; Metazoa; Chordata; Mammalia; Rodentia; Chinchillidae.